RNAcentral lists this transfer RNA (70 nucleotides) under Tonicina zschaui. RNAcentral's name for it is "tRNA-Leu". It matches the Rfam family "tRNA". From Rfam's summary of the family: Transfer RNA (tRNA) molecules are approximately 80 nucleotides in length. Their secondary structure includes four short double-helical elements and three loops (D, anti-codon, and T loops). Lineage: Eukaryota; Metazoa; Mollusca; Polyplacophora; Chitonida; Ischnochitonidae. The record is from RNAcentral.
ACCAUAUUAGCAAAAAUAAAUGCAAAUAAUUUAGAAUUAUUAAAAGAAGGCUAAUUUCCUUCAUUUGGUG